GACGAACGCUGGCGGCGUGCCUAACACAUGCAAGUCGAACGAACAGAUGGGGUGCUUUCUCCUCCGACGUUAGCGGCGGACGGGUGAGUAACACAUGGAUGACCUACCUCCCCGACUGGGAUAACAUCGCGAAACCGUAUCUAAUACCCGAUAAUAUAUUGAACUGCAUUGUGCUCUAGUGAGAGACGGUUUUGCUUUCAGUUAUAGAUGGAUCCGCGUCGGAUCAGAUGCUUGUGUAGGUGACGGGUUACCAAGGCAACGAGGGGUAGCCGACCUGAGGGGGGGGUGGGCCAGAUGGGAAGUGAGACAGGGCACAGACUCCGACGGUAGGAAGCAGAGGAGAAUCGUACGCAAUGGAGGAGAGGCGAACGGAGGACAGCGGCGUGAGGGGUGAAGGUGUGCGGUUCGUGAAGCGCUGUUAUUAGGGAAGAACAAAAGUGUAAGUAACUGUGCGCGUCUUGACGGUACCUGGACAAGAAGCCACGGCUAACUACGUG
This 497-nucleotide ribosomal RNA is filed under the name uncultured bacterium. RNAcentral describes it as "partial 16S ribosomal RNA". It matches the Rfam family "Bacterial small subunit ribosomal RNA", at positions 28 to 507 of the family's 1533-position model. The record is from RNAcentral.